GGGACGUAGGCUAGAGACACAGCUUAAGGACGUAGGCUAGAGACGCGGGUUGGGGACGUAGGCUAGAGACGCGGAUUAGGGACGUAGGCUAGGGACGCGGGUUAGGGACGUAGGCUAGAGACGCGGCUUAGGGACGUAGGCUAGGCACGCGGGUUAGGGACGUAGGCUAGGGACGCGGGUUAGGGACGUAGGCUAGGGACGCGGGUUAGGGAUGUAGGCUAGAGACGUACUCUAUGGAUACGAGCUCAGGAUGUGGGCUAGGGGUAUAGGCUACAGAUGCAGGUUUGGGGUCAGGAUGCGGGCUGGAGAUGUAGUCUAGGCCUGUAGGCUAUGGAUGUGGGCUAGGGAUGCAGGUCACAGAUGCUGAGACAUACAACAAGGGGCCCUCACAUGAGAAAAUGUCUUCUUCUUCUGCAACAGAGAAGCUUCUCUUUCCUGAAAGUGAUUGUUGGAUUCCUUACAUUUUAGAAACAGCUACAAUUUCAGCAAGUGGACUCCGUGUUGUUUGCAUUUCUGAACGGUUACCCCUCACUGGCCCACUGCUGGAGCCACCAGGAAGUUGGCCAGAGAGGUCUGCGGAGCCCUGUGGAACACCAGCCAGGACACUCAUCACCACCUGUCCCAGUGAGUGAUGGAGACCCGCACUCAGCCCGCGAGGAGGCGCUGUUACCUCCAGGAGGCAAAACGCCCAGGAUCCACCCACGGAACUCCACCCUGUGAAACGCUUCAGAAUCGCUCCGUUCUCGCUCAUGCGCCCUUUCUUCCAGAUGAAGGUUUGGAUCCACAUUUCUCUCUGGAGAGUCUCUGCUGGGUGCUCAGCCCCAGCUGCGUUUAGAGAGCAGUUUAACAGACGCCGAGCAUCAUGGCUUCCAUCCAGGGCCAUUAGAAAACCCAUCUUUCCAGGACACCCCUCAGACUUCCAGGAUCCCAGAUGGGACUCGCCUGGACGUGCCUACCUUUCCCAGGCAGCUGCCCGUCUUUGCUGUGAAAGUACCACCGCGCCCAGGACGGCACGUGUGCGCCCGGUCCCCAGGGGGCUGUUCUCGUUUAUCCCCACGUGCAGCGCCAGCUUUAGUUCUUCCUCCAGCGCUGAGCAGUUGUGUCUCAGCCCCCCGGCCCUCGCCCCUCCCCUCUCCCUGCGCCCCUCACCACGUCUUGCCCAGGCCUUGGUCUGUUCCUUCCAUUUGUCACCUGCUCUGUCCCCCCACCCACGGCAGAUGAGCACUAGGCGGCGUGGCUUGGUGCUCACGCUGCAGUCCCCAGGGCGCGGUUGUGAUUCACAGGAAGAGCCUCAGCUCAUCAGCACCCUUAUCGUCCCUCUGACUGCACGUUCACCCGCCCCACUGAGCGACUGUCUCAGCUCUCCUAGGUUACGAUGGGAAACCAACGACUGUUUGCAUGAAUAACUAGGCAAUACUGGUCCCAUGAAGCUCCCUGACUGCGGGCACGAUCCAUCGUGAGUGUUUAAAGCUGCCUCUCGGUGUUCCGUAUGGUCUGUAUUUCUGCAUAUCUAUCCUUCAACCUCUGUUACUCAUUAUAUCCUUGGUUUCACUAAAAUUUUACACCUUUUGUGUUUCACAUCAGGUUGAUCUGCUGGAAUGUAUACGCAUUGUGUUAAAUCAACUGACAUUAUUUGUUAAAAAUUAUUAAUUAGAUGGAUCACGGUAAAUACAAGAAGUUUUAAGCUUACUAUGGAAAUAGAGCUAUUU
Bos taurus (domestic cattle) is the source of this 1709-nucleotide long non-coding RNA. NCBI's taxonomy places the organism in Eukaryota, Metazoa, Chordata, Mammalia, Artiodactyla, Bovidae. The record is from Ensembl.